Molecule: ribosomal RNA, 498 nt
Filed under: uncultured Glomeromycotina
Lineage: Eukaryota; Fungi; Glomeromycota
Description: partial small subunit ribosomal RNA
Rfam family: Eukaryotic small subunit ribosomal RNA
Source: RNAcentral
CCAAUAGCGUAUAUUAAAGUUGUUGCAGUUAAAAAGCUCGUAGUUGAAUUUCGGGAUCAAUAUGUUGGUCGUGCCUUGGUACGUACUAGCUUAUUGAUUUCUUCCUUCUGACGAACCAUGAUGUCAUUAAUUUGGUGUCAUGGGGAAUCAGGACUGUUACUUUGAAAAAAUUAGAGUGUUUAAAGCAGGCUCACGCUUGAAUACAUUAGCAUGGAAUAAUGAAAUAGGACGUUUGAUUCUAUUUUGUUGGUUUCUAGGAUCGACGUAAUGAUUAAUAGGGAUAGUUGGGGGCAUUAGUAUUCAAUUGUCAGAGGUGAAAUUCUUGGAUUUAUUGAAGACUAACUACUGCGAAAGCAUUUGCCAAGGAUGUUUUCAUUAAUCAAGAACGAAAGUUAGGGGAUCGAAGACGAUCAGAUACCGUCGUAGUCUUAACCAUAAACUAUGCCGACUAGGGAUCGGAUGAUGUUAAUUUUUUAAUGACUCAUUCGGCGCCUUACG